Molecule: long non-coding RNA, 760 nt
Filed under: Phoenix dactylifera (date palm)
Lineage: Eukaryota; Viridiplantae; Streptophyta; Magnoliopsida; Arecales; Arecaceae
Description: long non-coding RNA (PDAC_LNC016575)
Source: RNAcentral
GAGGUAUCACAGAAAUCGUUGACAUUGCAGAAUCGGAGGCCUUCUUAAAUACUGGGUUCUCCUUUCCUCCAUUUCAUUAUAUCAGCUGAUUUGAUAAUUUCAACUUACAUUCCCCACACAUAUGAUACAAACAGGGUAAUUAGGAUUCAAAUGUCCCAUUAAUUUGUGUACCCAAGAGCCUUUACACUUUUUCCUUUUUUCUACAAUUUUUCAUCUAAAGACAUGAUGCAUGUUUGGGAACUGCAUAAUUGAAAUACCAGUAAGUUGAAAACAGCUACACUUUUUAGCAAAGUCUAGGCCAGUAUUGAGCAGACUUGCAUUAUAUAUUUUCUUAAAGAUGAUAGGCUAUUUUUUUAGCAAAAAUAAUAUGGCUGAAUAAAUUAACCUUUGUACGUAUCUUCCCUAGAACUAAUGCAUUUUAAGCAUUGUUUACUCACAUCCUUGCUAAAACUAGCAUAAAUCAACUGAUGACAACAGAAAGAAAUUAACAAAGAUGUGUGUGAAAACGCACAACUUUGGAAUUAUGAUACUUGUUAUGGAAGACAUCCUCUUCCCAUACUUCCAAAUAAUGCAUUCUCAAGCGCAUAGCGCGUGCACAAGUAAAUCCAAACAGAAUCUAAAAUGUACUUACAAUUUCUGGUUUCUGCACAGGACUGUAGCAGCAGAAUAAACUGCGAAGAUAGAUCAACUUUUUUGUUAUUACGCAUCAGCUCAUUAUUUUUGUUAUUUUUUUCUUCAUUGGUAGUGUCCACAUUAGGUU